Molecule: ribosomal RNA, 671 nt
Filed under: uncultured archaeon
Lineage: Archaea
Description: bacterial SSU rRNA
Rfam family: Archaeal small subunit ribosomal RNA
Source: RNAcentral
CGUGGCUAACCUGCCCUUGGGACAGAAACACUCCCGGGAAACUGGGGCUAAUUUCCGAUAGGUGAAGACUCCUGGAAUGGAUUUUCGCCUAAAGGGCGCUUAGGGCAUGCUUCUAAGCGUUGCCCAAGGAUGGGGCCGCGGCCGAUCAGGUUGUUGGUGAGGUAAUGGCCCACCAAGCCUUUAACCGGUACGGGCCGUGGGAGCGGUAGCCCGGAGAUGGGCACUGAGACAAGGGCCCAGGCCCUACGGGGCGCAGCAGUCGCGAAAACUUCGCAAUAAGCGAAAGCUUGACGGGGCCAUCCCGAGUGCCAUCUGCUGAGGAUGGCUUUUACCUAGUAUAGAUAGCUGGGGGAAUAAGGAGAGGGCAAGUCUGGUGUCAGCCGCCGCGGUAAUACCAGCUCUCCGAGUUGUAGGGAUGUUUAUUGGGCCUAAAGCAUCCGUAGCCGGCUGGACAAGUCCUCUGUUAAAUCCAGCGACCAAUCGUUGGUCUGCGGGGGAUACUGUCCGGCUUGGGGGCGGGAGAGGCCGUCGGUAUUCCUGGGGUAGGGGUGAAAUCCUAUAAUCCCAGGAGGACCACCAGUGGCGAAGGCUGUCGGCUAGAACGCGCCCGACGGUGAGGGAUGAAAGCUGGGGGAGCGAACCGGAUUAGAUACCCGGGUAGUCCCAGCUGU